Molecule: ribosomal RNA, 468 nt
Filed under: uncultured bacterium
Lineage: Bacteria
Description: partial 16S ribosomal RNA
Rfam family: Bacterial small subunit ribosomal RNA
Source: RNAcentral
GACGAACGCUGGCGGCGUGCUUAACACAUGCAAGUCGAACGGAAAGGCCCUGCUUUUGUGGGGUGCUCGAGUGGCGAACGGGUGAGUAACACGUGAGUAACCUGCCCUUGACUUUGGGAUAACUUCAGGAAACUGGGGCUAAUACCGGAUAGGAGCUCCUGCUGCAUGGUGGGGGUUGGAAAGUUUCGGCGGUUGGGGAUGGACUCGCGGCUUAUCAGCUUGUUGGUGGGGUAGUGGCUUACCAAGGCUUUGACGGGUAGCCGGCCUGAGAGGGUGACCGGCCACAUUGGGACUGAGAUACGGCACAGCCUAGUACGGGAGGCAGGAGGGGGGAAUAUUGCACAGUGGGCGGAAGCCUGAUGUAGCAACGCCGCGUGCGGGAUGACGGCCUUCGGGUUGUAAACCGCUUUCGCCUGUGACGAAGCGUGAGUGACGGUAAUGGGUAAAGAAGCACCGGCUAACUACGUG